Molecule: ribosomal RNA, 513 nt
Filed under: uncultured bacterium
Lineage: Bacteria
Description: bacterial SSU rRNA
Rfam family: Bacterial small subunit ribosomal RNA
Source: RNAcentral
GACGAACGCUGGCGGCGCGCUUAACACAUGCAAGUCGAACGGAGUUUUGUCUGACACAAAACGUUUUCGACGGCAGCUUCCGAAACGCAAAGCGUUUCGGUACGCGAUAAUCAGAAGAUGAACAGCGGGAGAGAAGGAACGCAAUGAGAAACGAUUUGCGUUUCGGUACGCGUUAAUUGUAAGAUUAACAGCCGGGAGAACGGUUUGUGUCAGGCAAGGCUCAGUGGCGGACGGGUGAGUAACGCGUGAGCAACCUGCCUUACAGAGGGGGAUAACAUUGGGAAACCAGUGCUAAUACCGCAUGAGACCACGGCUUCGAGUGGAGCAGAGGUCAAAGGAGCAAUCCGCUGUAAGAGGGGCUCGCGUCCCAUUAGCUAGUUGGCGGGGUAAAUGCCCACCAAGGCGACGAUGGGUAGCCGGACUGAGAGGUUGGCCGGCCACACUGGAACUGAGACACGGUCCAGACUCCUACGGGAGGCAGCAGUGGGAAUAUUGGGCAAUGGGGAAACCUGA